AAAGUUUGAUCCUGGCUCASAUUGAACRCUGGCGGCAUGCCUUACAYAUGCAAGUCGAACGGUAACAGGGAGCUUGCUCCGCUGACGAGUGGCGAACGGGUGAGUAAUAUAUCGGAACAUACCCUAGAGUGGGGGAUAACGUAGCGAAAGUUACGCUAAUACCGCAUACGAACUAAGGUUGAAAGUGGGGGCUCGCAGGACCUCAUGCUCAUGGAGUGGCCGAUAUCUGAUUAGCUAGUUGGUGAGGUAAAGGCUCACCAAGGCGACGAUCAGUAGCUGGUUUGAGAGAACGACCAGCCACACUGGAACUGAGACACGGUCCAGACUCCUACGGGAGGCAGCAGUGGGGAAUUUUGGACAAUGGGGGCAACCCUGAUCCAGCAAUGCCGCGUGAGUGAAGAAGGCCUUCGGGUUGUGAAGCUCUUUUGUCAGGGAAGAAACGGUGAGGUCUAAUACACUUUACUAAUGACGGUACCUGAAGAAUAAGCACCGGCUAACUACGUGCCAGCAGCCGCGGUAAUACGUAGGGUGCAAGCGUUAAUCGGAAUUACUGGGCGUAAAGCGUGCGCAGGCGGUUAUAUAAGUCAGAUGUGAAAUCCCCGGGCUCAACCUGGGAACUGCAUUUGAGACUGUAUGGCUAGAGUGUGUCAGAGGGGGGUAGAAUUCCACGUGUAGCAGUGAAAUGCGUAGAUAUGUGGAGGAAUACCGAUGGCGAAGGCAGCCCCCUGGGAUAACACUGACGCUCAUGCACGAAAGCGUGGGGAGCAAACAGGAUUAGAUACCCUGGUAGUCCACGCCCUAAACGAUGUCUACUAGUUGUUGGGUCUUAAUUGACUUAGUAACGCAGCUAACGCGUGAAGUAGACCGCCUGGGGAGUACGGUCGCAAGAUUAAACUCAAAGGAAUUGACGGGGACCCGCACAGCGGKGAUGAUGUGAUUAAUUCGAUGCAACGCGAAAAACCUUACUACYCUUGAMAUGUACAGAUGCCGAAAAGAUUUGGCGGUGCUCGCAARAGACUGUAACACAGGUGCUGCAUGCUGUCGUCAGCUCGKGUCGGRUAUGUAGGUAGGUCGCACGAGSCACUUGCAUAGUGCUMAUUAGUGRCMCYUAUGAAACKGCGGUACAMACCGAAGAAAAGGUGGGAAUKAAAGUYA
RNAcentral lists this ribosomal RNA (1155 nucleotides) under uncultured bacterium. Its description in RNAcentral is "bacterial SSU rRNA". It matches the Rfam family "Bacterial small subunit ribosomal RNA", at positions 8 to 1187 of the family's 1533-position model. The record is from RNAcentral.